Molecule: ribosomal RNA, 283 nt
Filed under: Pontellopsis yamadae
Lineage: Eukaryota; Metazoa; Arthropoda; Copepoda; Calanoida; Pontellidae
Description: partial 16S ribosomal RNA
Rfam family: Bacterial large subunit ribosomal RNA (bases 142-283)
Source: RNAcentral
ACGAGAAGACCCUAUGAAGCUAAUUAAUGGUAUGAAAUUAAAAAAAUUGUGCGUAAAUUAUUUGGGGUAAAGAAAAAUAAUUUUAUUUUAAUUUAGUAAAACACUGAUCUUUAAUAAAAAUUAGGAGUAAGCUACUCUAGGGAUAACAGCGUAAUAUUUAUUAGAGGCCUUAUCGAAGUAAAUGUUUGCGACCUCGAUGUUGAAUUAUGGAGAUUUAUAAAAGCAGCAUUUUAUAGAUUUAGUCUGUUCGACUUCUAUUCCAUACAUGAUCUGAGUUCAAACC